RNAcentral lists this ribosomal RNA (483 nucleotides) under uncultured bacterium. RNAcentral's name for it is "partial 16S ribosomal RNA". It matches the Rfam family "Bacterial small subunit ribosomal RNA", at positions 28 to 507 of the family's 1533-position model. The record is from RNAcentral.
GACGAACGCUGGCGGCGUGCUUAACACAUGCAAGUCGAACGCUGAAGCUCAGCUUUUGUUGGGUGGAUGAGUGGCGAACGGGUGAGUAACACGUGAGUAACCUGCCCCCUUCUUUGGGAUAACGCCCGGAAACGGGUGCUAAUACUGGAUAUUCACUGGUCUUCGCAUGGGGGUUGGUGGAAAGGGUUUUUCUGGUGGGGGAUGGGCUCGCGGCCUAUCAGCUUGUUGGUGGGGUGAUGGCCUACCAAGGCUUUGACGGGUAGCCGGCCUGAGAGGGUGACCGGGCACAUUGGGACGGAGCUACGGCCCAGGCUCCUACGGGAGGCAGCAGUGGGGAAUAUUGCACAAUGGGCGCAAGCCUGAUGCAGCGACGCCGCGUGAGGGAUGGAGGCCUUCGGGUUGUGAACCUCUUUCGCUCAUGGUCAAGCCGCAACAAUGGUUGUGGUGAGGGUAGUGGGUAAAGAAGCGCCGGCUAACUACGUG